AACGAACGCUGGCGGCGUGCCUAACACAUGCAAGUCGAACGAGAAAGGGGCUUCGGCUCCGAGUCAAGUGGCGCACGGGUGAGUAACACGUGGGUAACCUGCCUCUAAGAUUGGGAUAACUCGUCGAAAGAUGAGCUAAUACCGAAUAAGACCACAGUUCCCGCGGGAACAGGGGUCAAAGGUAGCCUCUGCUUGCAAGCUAUCACUUAGAGAUGGGCCUGCGCACCAUUAGCUAGUUGGUAGGGUAACGGCCUACCAAGGCAAAGAUGGUUAGCUGGUCUGAGAGGAUGAUCAGCCACACUGGAACUGAGACACGGUCCAGACUCCUACGGGAGGCAGCAGUGGGGAAUAUUGCGCAAUGGGCGAAAGCUUGACGCAGCAACGCCGCGUGAGUGAUGAAGGCCUUCGGGUCGUAAAGCUCUGUCGGGAGGAACGAAGGCUCCUGAGGUUAACAGCCUCGGGAGGUGACGGUACCUUCAAAGGAAGCACCGGCUAACUCUGU
Molecule: ribosomal RNA, 502 nt
Filed under: uncultured bacterium
Lineage: Bacteria
Description: partial 16S ribosomal RNA
Rfam family: Bacterial small subunit ribosomal RNA
Source: RNAcentral